Molecule: non-coding RNA, 3536 nt
Organism: Ictidomys tridecemlineatus (thirteen-lined ground squirrel)
Lineage: Eukaryota; Metazoa; Chordata; Mammalia; Rodentia; Sciuridae
Source: RefSeq, a predicted model, not a curated record
UCUGCAUGCAUUCAUGGAAGGACCUCAAAUACUCUUUGGAAUCAGGCAAAGGACAAAGGAAUACAUGACCAGCUCCGCGUUCCCCAGCUCUUGGGCAGCAGGGUUAGGAUUCAAGCCCACGGCGGACUGCAGCAGGCCAGGCCUCUCUGCUCUGCCAGGGACUUCAGCCUGCUCUGUGGCCUUCUGGGCACCAGGCCCUGUGCCAGGCCUCAGGAUUAGGCUCACUUCUCCUAGACCCCGGCUUUGUAGGGGUCCCAUGUGGCCUGGUAUUCUGGAAUAAGCUGGAGAUGAGUGACCAAGAGCCACGGCCCCCUGUGGCCCCACAGUGUGCUUCCUUUGGCCCACCAACUUCUUCAAAAAACAACUUUUUCAAAUUGCCACCACCAUUUGAAAUUAAGAUUGUAUAGUUUUGAAUUGUCCUUGUUUCUUAUUUUCUCAUGAAAAAUUGGACAAUCAAGCAACUCUGGGCCUCCAGUCCCACAUGGCAACCAUUGCUACCCCUCUGGUGGACACAAAUCCUGGCGUGUCGUGCUGUCCCCUGCCUGGCCUGGUCUCUUACCAAUGACCUCUCCCCUGGUGGCUCAGCCCAGGGUGGUGGUGACGUCUUGGGCACCCUCACUUUCCCAGGAUCCAGCUGUAGUCCCAGCUGGGAGCUCAGCUCCCCUGGCCGCCCCAGCCCCACUCAUUCCCUGGAGUGUUUCCUGCUCCUCUUCAGACCUGAGCCAUCUCCUGCCCCCGAGGGUCAUCUGGGACCUGCGUCCUCUGAUCCCCUCCCCAGGGUCCUGCUGCAGACGCAGGCCUGGCCUGGGCCCCUCGUGCUUGUUGAAUGAAUGAGGGACGGAGGCAGGGAAGGAAUCAGCGGGCGUCCGAGCUCUCAGGGUCUUGGCUCAGGUGGACGUGAGGGCAGAACAGCAACUUGGAAGCAGGAGGCAGAAUUCUGUGCUGGCCCACUGCCCGGGUCCCCAGGCCUCCUGAGUCCCUUCGAGGGCCUCUCCCAUGCCAGGCUAUGCCAACGCAGACUUGGCGGAGUUUCCCACGCUGACGACCAGGGGAGAAAGAUGUCACAGCCCGGGACAGUCACCCAAACCUCCUGGUUGCCCCUGGUUCCCUCUCCUGGGAAGAGCAGCCUGGGGAGGCUGGCUCUCUCUCCUUCUCCCAGAGCCUCCGCCUCCCCCAGGCCCGUCUUUAAUUGCGCUGAGCAGCGGGAAGAACCUCGUGGCUCUUACAUCUGUUUUCUGGAAGAUUGUGAAGGCACAUUAAAGUGUGUGCAUGUGGGCGUCUGGUAGCGGGGCCUCUCUCGCUGCGUGAAAUAAUGGGGAAGGAUACGGGGAAGGAGGAGAGCGAGGGAGAGCAGACAGACAGACAGGGAGACAGGGAGACAGAGAAACGGGGUGGGGGCCGCUGUGGCCUCUGUGGCCAUGGCCAUGUUCUGAUUUGGGGCAUAUUUUCUUGCAGGUCCUAGAUGGACAUUUGGGGGAGUCACCCUGAAGCCUGCAGUGUGAGCCCUGCAGACACAGGCAGCAGAGACCUGCCCUGGGAGCUGUUUGGAGCUGCGGGGCUGCCUGUGUCUCUCACUGUCCCCUCUUGAGCCAGGUCCCAUGUCUCCUCCCAAGAGCAGGCAGGAGGCAGGGCUGGCUCCUUCCAAAGCCCAUCAGUGGCCUAGGAUGGAAGAGGCCCACCCCAGCCCAGGAGGACGCUGGGCACACUCAGGGUGGCCAGGAUGCUGGACGCCCUGGGAGCCUGGAGGGAGAUGGCAGAGGGAGUCGGCGGAAGGUGGCUGCUGAGCCGAUGGCCCUGGCACUGCCCAGGCAGGGAGAGGAGGGUUUGGUGAGCACAGCCCUCGCCAUCCAGCCCCCAGGAGGGAGUCGGCAGCCCCCCUUCCACAGCUGGGCAUGGAGACUCAGCAAGAGAGGGGCUGCCCCAGGGGACACACCAGGGGCCUGGGGCCCUCCUGACCACUCCCUGUCCCUCUCUCAGCAGCUUCUGUCUCUGAGCAGGGCUCUGAGGGAGUGGGGGGUAGGCUCCGCUCAGGACCCAGGAUGUGCCCUGGCAGACACCAGGCAGGGCCCCUGUUCCUCCCUGUGGUGGCAGGCACGGGGCCCAGGGUGGGGAUGGCCGGCCCAAAGGCACCACGGGAGGACCUUUCCCGGGAACUACAGAGGCUCAGGGACACAGGGCAGUUCUGAAAGCCAGGGCAGCAUCUGAACAGCCAUGGCACCAGCUGCCCCCUGACGGGUGGAGAGGAGGUGAUAUGUAGGGAUCCUCGAAGGCCCGGCCUCCUCUGGCCCAUUCUGUGGGGGAGCCAGGAGGUGAUCUCAUCCAGAGCCAUGGGCUCAGAGUUGUGUUGAUUCUACAGAAGAAGAGCAUAGUGGGACUGUUUCCCGUGGUGCUGGGAAUGGAACCCGGGGCCUCCUGCGUGCCAGGCCAGUGCAGUGCCACUGAGCUGUGCCGGGCCCUGCUGGGCAUUAUGGUGACAUCUGCCUGCCGCUCCCAUAGCUCUUCCCUCCUGGUUCUCAUUCAGCAACCCGCUCAGUGUUUCGAGUUCCCCACACCCACAGAGGGCCCGCGUCCACCAGUUCUGGGCUGGACACCGCCUUAAAGCCUGUGCCCCAAAUGGCCGAAGCCCACCCAGUCUCAGCAGCUCUCCGGAGUCUUGUUCAGAAUGCUGGGCAGUCAGGCUUGCUGUCUCUGGGCGUGUGUAGGACACACAAGGAUCCCCCCGACAGAUGUUGGAACCAUCUGGCGGUCACGGGAGAGUGGGCAGAAGGACGAAGCUCACGGCAACGCCGGGCGGAGCCGGGAAGACUGCUAGAAACGCAGCAGGAGCCUGAUCCAGCCUCACCUGCUGCCCGCAUCCUUGACGUAGCCAGGGAAUCAACAGCGCUGUCCUGUUGACGGCCAGCUUGAGUCGGGGCCCAGGGAGGAGGACGGCGUGACCUGCCCCGUGGACAGACAGCCCACGAGCUCUGGCCCCGCGGCCGUGGCUGCUGCUCAAGGAGGCCCAGCCAGUUCCCGUGGGGCCAACACUCUGAACCUUCUGUUUCCGUCAUAAAAUCAGCACCGUCCUCGGCAAAGCCCGACCCACUGCACCUUAUGAAUGCAGGACUGGUCGACCCGGGAGGGACAGAACCUCUGAAACCAGGAGCCCAGACACUUCUUCUCCGAGAUGCUCCCGACAGCCAUCGUGGUCCCCGUGGUGAGAAGCCGAUGGGCACUCUGGCCUCACGUGUUGCACGUGUAUGCCCAGCCCCUCCACCCACCCCAGGAAGCUGCUCACUUGCUUCCUGUCCCCACAGACCUCCCUGUUGGGACCUUGCAUGUAGGUGGCUCACAGGUACGUGACCCCUGGUGACUGGCUUCCUUGACUGAGCAUGACGGUUUCCAGGCCCCACCUGCUGCCACGCAUGUCGAUGCUUCCUCUUCAUGGCCGAGUAAUAUUCCCGUGCGUGGAGACCACGUUUUGUUAUCAUCCUCAGCCAGUGGACACUUGGGUCUUGCUCUGUGGCUGUGAUGAAUAAAGCUGCUCUGAGCCCUCA